RNAcentral lists this transfer RNA (72 nucleotides) under Escherichia coli. RNAcentral's name for it is "tRNA-Ala". It matches the Rfam family "tRNA". Rfam says of the family: Transfer RNA (tRNA) molecules are approximately 80 nucleotides in length. Their secondary structure includes four short double-helical elements and three loops (D, anti-codon, and T loops). Further hydrogen bonds mediate the characteristic L-shaped molecular structure. tRNAs have two regions of fundamental functional importance: the anti-codon, which is responsible for specific mRNA codon recognition, and the 3' end, to which the tRNAs corresponding amino acid is attached (by aminoacyl-tRNA synthetases). tRNAs cope with the degeneracy of the genetic code in two manners: having more than one tRNA (with a specific anti-codon) for a particular amino acid; and 'wobble' base-pairing, i.e. permitting non-standard base-pairing at the 3rd anti-codon position. Lineage: Bacteria; Pseudomonadati; Pseudomonadota; Gammaproteobacteria; Enterobacterales; Enterobacteriaceae. The record is from RNAcentral.
GGGGCUAUAGCUCAGCUGGGAGAGCGCUUGCAUGGCAUGCAAGAGGUCAGCGGAUCCCGCUUAGCUCCACCA